AAACUUUAUAAAAUAUAGCUUCUAACUAUAUAAAAGUAAAUAGUUUACUAAAGUUUU
This 57-nucleotide transfer RNA is filed under the name Bemisia tabaci. Its description in RNAcentral is "tRNA-Ser". Lineage: Eukaryota; Metazoa; Arthropoda; Insecta; Hemiptera; Aleyrodidae. The record is from RNAcentral.